CUGCUAUACUGUAUAUAAAACGUAAAGUAUAGAAAGAGCGGCCCCAGAGGCUGGAACCGUAACACACACAAGGCAAGGUGUGUGUCUGUGACGUCAGUCGCCUCCCCAAAGUCAGCGACAUACUUUCCUGGCAGGGCGACAGGGAAACAAAGGUUCUGCCAAGACUAGCUGAAGGUGGAGUGUUACAACAGCUGCAAAGCCCCAGGCUCUCUACUGUUGUCUAGAGUAGAAGUGAGUUUAUCCUGAAAUGAAAAUGCUUUGCAAACAAGUCACAAGGCACCUUCUCUUUUGAUGUCAGAGCAACAAUAUGACAAAACCAUCAGACCUGAAGAAGAAGCAGCAGUUUAUCUGAUUUUUUUGCCUUAAAAACCCCCACAACUAGUAGUGUUCAGAAAUGUUAAACAACUGGACGAUGUAGUUAAAGAGGCUGUAUUUGCAUGUAGCAAUAAUAAAGCAAUAAAUUUAGCCUAAUAAAC
This is a long non-coding RNA of Podarcis raffonei (Aeolian wall lizard), 476 nucleotides long. RefSeq lists it as uncharacterized. The transcript has 3 exons. Lineage: Eukaryota; Metazoa; Chordata; Lepidosauria; Squamata; Lacertidae. The record is from RefSeq and is a predicted model, not a curated record.